RNAcentral lists this ribosomal RNA (277 nucleotides) under uncultured bacterium. RNAcentral's name for it is "partial 16S ribosomal RNA". It matches the Rfam family "Bacterial small subunit ribosomal RNA", at positions 28 to 297 of the family's 1533-position model. The record is from RNAcentral.
GGUUAACGCUGGCGGCGUGCUUAACACAUGCAAGUCGAACGAGGGCCUUUCUCCCGCAAGGGAGGGGGGUUCCUAGUGGCGAACGGGUGAGUAACACGUGGGCAACCUGUCCUUUCGUGGGGGAUAACACCGGGAAACCGGUGCUAAUACCGCGUACGGUCGCCGAAGGCAUCUUCGGUGAAGAAAGCAGCAAUGCGCGAAAGGGUGGGCCCGCGGCCUAUCAGCUGGUCGGUGGGGUAACGGCCUACCGAGGCUUUGACGGGUAGCUGGUCUGAGA